AGCCCCGGCAACACUUAGGGUGCUUGUUUCAAAUUUGCAAUUUGACGUGAAUCACUACUAGGGCUUG
RNAcentral lists this transfer RNA (67 nucleotides) under Lialis jicari. RNAcentral's name for it is "tRNA-Cys". The record is from RNAcentral. Lineage: Eukaryota; Metazoa; Chordata; Lepidosauria; Squamata; Pygopodidae.